Molecule: unclassified non-coding RNA, 336 nt
Filed under: uncultured Entrophosporaceae
Lineage: Eukaryota; Fungi; Glomeromycota; Glomeromycetes; Entrophosporales; Entrophosporaceae
Description: uncultured Claroideoglomeraceae sequence contains 18S rRNA gene
Source: RNAcentral
CCCAACUAUCCCUAUUAAUCUUUACGUGGUCCUAAAACCAACAAAAUAGAACCAUCGUCCUAUUUUAUUAUUCCAUGCUAAUAUAUUCAAGCAAAAAUGCCCGCUUUAAACACUCUAAUUUUUUCAAAGUAAAAGUCCUGGUUCAUCGAAACACCCGAGAGCAUCCCAAUUCACCAGAAGGUGAGAAUUGACCAUACACCGAUUCAUGUCCCUAAAGCCAUGAUCGAUAUAUCCCAAUCCCGAAAUUCAACUACGAGCUUUUUAACCGCAACAACACUAAUAUACGCUAUUGGAGCUGGAAUUACCGCGGCCGCUAAUACCAGACUUGCCCUCCAA